CAGGAAGUGAGCAGCCUCCUCUUCCACACAGUCCCACUGUGAUAGACCGUGCCACCCUGGGAACCCUGAGCCAAACCAACCUCUCCUCUUUUUCAGUUAUUAUCUUAGGUAGCAGGAUGCUAAACUGUAAUGAAGUACGAGAAAAAGAAGUGGAAACUGAGUCAAACAUCGAAGCAAAUUAAAAGAAGUCACUACACAGAUCUCUACUAGGAAGUAAAUCAGAGAUAAAGCUGUGUGGAAGGUAUCUAUUUCCCAUAACAAUCACUUUGCCAACUAUUUUUCAGACUGAAGACAGUCCAGCCUACCAGCAACAAAGAGGAGUAAUGCUUUUCAUUUGGAUUCACUAGACCAGGCAGUGCUGAGAUAACUGCGGGUGUAAGGGCCUGCUCCCUUUUCCUCAGGGGACAGUUCUGUCGGGAUGCGUAGGCUACGCUGCCUCCUCCCAGGGACAGAUCACAGGUGGGGCGCCCCAGCCCGCCACGAGGACAGCUUGUCUCAGCUCGGCUGGACAGGUGGCUUCGGGAGGCUCAGCUUACCAGCAGCCACCCUGGGGCUUCUUGCUUAUGACUGAAUCUGCAGCCUCCUCUUCAACCCACAGUGCCCUGCGAAAGUCAGCACUGGCGGGUCACCAGGGGACGGGGUUGUGCCCUUGGCUUCCUCCUCAGGUCAUCAGUGCAUCCUCAGUGAUAUGGAAGGAAGAGCGGCACAGGGAGAAUAGGGAGCGGUGACUUCAGCCCUUGAGAUGCCAGGACACGGAGGGGUGAGGGGACCCUGUGCCCUGGCAUGGGGAGCGGAGCUGUGGCCCGGGCUGGGAACCACACGAUGGGGGGCGGGCAUCCUGGGCUGUGCUCCCACUACCAUCGCUCCCCAACAGGGAACGCUGCCUAGGCUCCAGGGUCCUUCCAGAAAGCCAUUCGCUGCUAACCUGUUUUUCAUUCCAUUAGUAUUCCUGAGUUCCACUCCCUAAGAAUCAGUUAGGGAAAAAAUAAAAUUCACACUCAUUGGCCCUCCGUGGUAAAUCCAUAUGUGUUUUUCCCGAGUCCUUUGGUUUUUUCUCUGCUGCUCUGGCUGCUGCCCUCAAAAGACUCAGCCUGGUUCUGGAGGAUGAUGACAGUGGCUUAGAGACGUGAAUAUCGGAAGGAGGCCACUCGGCUGACCAACUUGCAUAUCUGAAGGUGUAACAGCACGGCCCGCAGACUCUGAUGAGUGUAAUGAAUCUUGCCUGCUGAUGAUGCGGGAGGAAAAUGUGUUCCUGUGUGCGAAGAAUCGCCUGGUUCUCAUUACCCCCCGGAGGCAGAGCCUGCGGAGAAGCCAAGUUGGGCUGCAGAAUUCACUGAUGAAGGACAGGGACUGAAACGGCGCCACACCAUCCACCCUGGACUCCAGGGAAACCGUUCGCAGCCCGCUCCUCACCGACGCGCUCGCUCCGCAGGUUCCUUUCAUGGAAAGGCCCCACACAGGGGUGACUGGGCUGCAGCCCCGAUUGCCCGCUUUCUGAUUACCCCACUCCCAGACAGACCUACCGGCCGUAUCUGAACACACACAGAGCGCAGGACCCUGGACUCUAACCCGAAGGCCCGUUUCCUAGCUUUCUAUGUGUGACUCUGUAAUUGGGGAAAAGGUAAAACUUUUGUUUUAA
Chinchilla lanigera (long-tailed chinchilla) is the source of this 1639-nucleotide long non-coding RNA. RefSeq lists it as uncharacterized. Lineage: Eukaryota; Metazoa; Chordata; Mammalia; Rodentia; Chinchillidae. The transcript has 2 exons. The record is from RefSeq and is a predicted model, not a curated record.